CUUCUCCCCAGGACGGGUUGCUUGGAUUGUGGGACAUUCUUUUGUCUUCUGGGCCGAGAGGAGGGCCGCAGCUCGAACGCAGGGCCAGCAGCUGGGCUUUCCGAAGGACCAGUUGGCAGUCCGAUGGUUUGGGUACCGGGGAUUUUGCUGGGGGGAGGUUUGUGGGGCAAUGUUUAGGAUGGUUGCAGGCGGGAAAACGCCGGACAUGGUGGUCCUUCAUGCCGGGGGUAACGACUUGGGCCUUACGCCGCAACGUCGGUUGGUAAAAUGGAUGAAGCAGGACAUCAACAAACUGAGGGACCUGCUUCCGGGGGUUAUGUUGGUGUGGUCGGAGAUUGUCCCAAGGCGUCGGUGGCGGCACACGCGGGAUCCGGUGGCUAUCAAUCAAUGCAGGAAGAAAGUGAACAGCUUGAUGGCAAGCUUUGUUAGGAAGGUGGGGGGCGUGGUGGUACG
Non-coding RNA from Pelobates cultripes (western spadefoot toad), 453 nucleotides. The record is from the annotation of a GenBank genome assembly. Lineage: Eukaryota; Metazoa; Chordata; Amphibia; Anura; Pelobatidae.